This is a long non-coding RNA of Oncorhynchus gorbuscha (pink salmon), 602 nucleotides long. RefSeq lists it as uncharacterized. The record is from RefSeq and is a predicted model, not a curated record. Lineage: Eukaryota; Metazoa; Chordata; Actinopteri; Salmoniformes; Salmonidae. The transcript has 2 exons.
UUUACAAUGUUGGAUUGAAAAAGAGUGACAUGUCAGAUUGAUACAUAAUGUAUAUGCACAACUCUUUAUUGUUUGGGGGCGGGGUUUAAAGUGAAACAGCCUUUAAGAGAUACAUAUAUUUCACUGAGGGAGAAGUGCCGAUGACCUCCAAGUGGAAGUGUCCAGAUCCUCAUUUCUUGUAUGUGACACUGUUACAAAUAAUUCAUUUGUGCAGAUUAACAACGAGAGCCAUUGGUAUCGUCUGCUUUCAUUUUACAUUUAAAAAAUUUAAUUAAAAAAUGCUUUCCAUUCACUGUGUGAGCGACUACAUUCCACUGUUCUCCACUGUCGACAGAAAAACGUUCAAGAAUUAAGAUAUGGCGUAUCUCAGCAUGACAGAAGACCAGUUGCGCUGUUCCAUCUGCCUGGAUAUCUUCGUCCACCCUGUCUCCACUCCGUGUGGACACAACUUCUGCAAAUGUACGCCAUGUUUUAUGGAACUUUCCAUGGAUCCCAACUUCGUAUUAUGUCUCAUACAGUAAAUUGUAUAUAUUUUUUGUCUGCCACUGGUUUACACUGAUUUGUCCCCCAGGGAGGAAUAAAUACCCUAUCUAUCUAUCAAA